This 495-nucleotide ribosomal RNA is filed under the name uncultured bacterium. RNAcentral describes it as "partial 16S ribosomal RNA". It matches the Rfam family "Bacterial small subunit ribosomal RNA", at positions 28 to 507 of the family's 1533-position model. The record is from RNAcentral.
GAUGAACGCUGGCGGCGUGCCUAAUACAUGCAAGUAGAACGCUGAAGGAGGAGCUUGCUCUUCUGGAUGAGUUGCGAACGGGUGAGUAACGCGUAGGUAACCUGCCUGGUAGCGGGGGAUAACUAUUGGAAACGAUAGCUAAUACCGCAUGACAACAGUUAUUGCAUGAUAACUGUUUAAAAGGGGCAACUGCUCCACUACCAGAUGGACCUGCGUUGUAUUAGCUAGUUGGUGAGGUAACGGCUCACCAAGGCGACGAUACAUAGCCGACCUGAGAGGGUGAUCGGCCACACUGGGACUGAGACACGGCCCAGACUCCUACGGGAGGCAGCAGUAGGGAAUCUUCGGCAAUGGACGGAAGUCUGACCGAGCAACGCCGCGUGAGUGAAGAAGGUUUUCGGAUCGUAAAGCUCCGUUGUAAGAGAAGAACGAGUGUGAGAGUGGAAAGUUCACACUGUGACGGUAUCUGACCAGAAAGGGACGGCUAACUACGUG